AUGAAGCAGCAUGAGCAUGACCAGCGUAAAGAGUCAGAGAGCCGUGUCUCUCUACAGUCAGAGGUUUUUGUACGGCGGCUCAAUGAGUUUGUAUCACUGUGGUGGACUUUUGGUGGAGGAACCAGACUGGAUGUUAACUUGGGUCGAGUCCCCCCCUCCCUGACCGUGCUGGCGCCCUCUAGUGAGGAGCUGCAGCAGGGGAAGGCUACAGUCAUGUGUGUGGCCAACAAGGGCUUCCCCUCAGACUGGAGGCUGUCCUGGAAGGUGGACGGAAGAAGCAGCAGUGGAGAGGAGAGCAGGAGCCCCGGGGCGCUGCAGAAUGACGGCCACUACAGCUGGAGCAGCACCCUGAGGCUCCCUGCAGACCAGUGGGAGAAGGUGGGCUCUGUGACCUGUGAGGCCACCCAGGGCUCCCACACUCCACUCUCACAGACUCUGAUGACAGACCAGUGUUCCCAGUCCUGAGCUGACUCACUGGGACUCUGAUACUGGCUUUAGUCUGCAGCUUCUCUCAGUCUGCUCCCUCUGUGUCUGUAUUGCUUUGAUAGUUUUCAUGUUUUCAUGCUUGUGGCACUGUUGAUGGUUUUAAUACUUCAAAUAAAAACUGAGGUCUUCAAA
This is a non-coding RNA of Pelmatolapia mariae (spotted tilapia), 618 nucleotides long. Lineage: Eukaryota; Metazoa; Chordata; Actinopteri; Cichliformes; Cichlidae. The record is from the annotation of a RefSeq genome assembly.